Molecule: ribosomal RNA, 1457 nt
Filed under: uncultured organism
Description: SSU rRNA
Rfam family: Bacterial small subunit ribosomal RNA
Source: RNAcentral
GAACGCUGGCGGCAGGCCUAACACAUGCAAGUCGAGCGGUAGCACAGAGAGCUUGCUCUCGGGUGACGAGCGGCGGACGGGUGAGUAAUGUCUGGGAAACUGCCUGAUGGAGGGGGAUAACUACUGGAAACGGUAGCUAAUACCGCAUAACGUCGCAAGACCAAAGUGGGGGACCUUCGGGCCUCAUGCCAUCAGAUGUGCCCAGAUGGGAUUAGCUAGUAGGUGGGGUAACGGCUCACCUAGGCGACGAUCCCUAGCUGGUCUGAGAGGAUGACCAGCCACACUGGAACUGAGACACGGUCCAGACUCCUACGGGAGGCAGCAGUGGGGAAUAUUGCACAAUGGGCGCAAGCCUGAUGCAGCCAUGCCGCGUGUGUGAAGAAGGCCUUCGGGUUGUAAAGCACUUUCAGCGGGGAGGAAGGCGUUAAGGUUAAUAACCUUGGCGAUUGACGUUACCCGCAGAAGAAGCACCGGCUAACUCCGUGCCAGCAGGCGCGGUAAUACGGAGGGUGCAAGCGUUAAUCGGAAUUACUGGGCGUAAAGCGCACGCAGGCGGUCUGUCAAGUCGGAUGUGAAAUCCCCGGGCUCAACCUGGGAACUGCAUUCGAAACUGGCAGGCUAGAGUCUUGUAGAGGGGGGUAGAAUUCCAGGUGUAGCGGUGAAAUGCGUAGAGAUCUGGAGGAAUACCGGUGGCGAAGGCGGCCCCCUGGACAAAGACUGACGCUCAGGUGCGAAAGCGUGGGGAGCAAACAGGAUUAGAUACCCUGGUAGUCCACGCCGUAAACGAUGUCGAUUUGGAGGUUGUGCCCUUGAGGCGUGGCUUCCGGAGCUAACGCGUUAAAUCGACCGCCUGGGGAGUACGGCCGCAAGGUUAAAACUCAAAUGAAUUGACGGGGGCCCGCACAAGCGGUGGAGCAUGUGGUUUAAUUCGAUGCAACGCGAAGAACCUUACCUGGUCUUGACAUCCACAGAACUUUCCAGAGAUGGAUUGGUGCCUUCGGGAACUGUGAGACAGGUGCUGCAUGGCUGUCGUCAGCUCGUGUUGUGAAAUGUUGGGUUAAGUCCCGCAACGAGCGCAACCCUUAUCCUUUGUUGCCAGCGGUUCGGCCGGGAACUCAAAGGAGACUGCCAGUGAUAAACUGGAGGAAGGUGGGGAUGACGUCAAGUCAUCAUGGCCCUUACGACCAGGGCUACACACGUGCUACAAUGGCAUAUACAAAGAGAAGCGACCUCGCGAGAGCAAGCGGACCUCAUAAAGUAUGUCGUAGUCCGGAUUGGAGUCUGCAACUCGACUCCAUGAAGUCGGAAUCGCUAGUAAUCGUAGAUCAGAAUGCUACGGUGAAUACGUUCCCGGGCCUUGUACACACCGCCCGUCACACCAUGGGAGUGGGUUGCAAAAGAAGUAGGUAGCUUAACCUUCGGGAGGGCGCUUACCACUUUGUGAUUCAUGACUGGGG